Molecule: ribosomal RNA, 635 nt
Filed under: uncultured Pseudomonas sp.
Lineage: Bacteria; Pseudomonadati; Pseudomonadota; Gammaproteobacteria; Pseudomonadales; Pseudomonadaceae
Description: bacterial SSU rRNA
Rfam family: Bacterial small subunit ribosomal RNA
Source: RNAcentral
AAUGUUCGUCACGCAGCUAACCGCAUUAAAAUUGACCCCCCUUGGGAGGACGGUUCGCAAGGUUAAAAACUCAAGUUGAAUUGAUCGGGGGGUGAGCACAACGCGGUGCGAGCACGUGGUUUAACUGGAAUUCAACGCGAAGAACCUUCCCAGGCCUUGGCAUGCAAUCAAUGUUCUAGAGAUAGAGUGGGUGCCUUCCGGGGCGUUGAGUCAGACGGAUCAUGCAUGUCGUUAGUUCCCUUCAGUGCAAAAUAGGUUGAGUAACGUUACGAGCGAGUGCAUCCCUCUUGCUUACCAGCAGGUUAGGGUUGGCGGGCACUGUUCGGUGCCGCCCCCUGACGAACCGGAGGAGGGUGGGGAUGACGUCAAGUCAUCACGGCCCGUACGGCCUGGGAUACACACGUGCUACAAUGGUCGGUACAAAGGGUUGCCAAGCCGCGAGGUGGAGCUAAUCCCAUAAAACCGAUCGUAGUCCGGAUCGCAGUCUGCAACUCGACUGCGUGAAGUCGGAAUCGCUAGUAAUCGCGAAUCAGAAUGUCGCGGUGAAUACGUUCCCGGGCCUUGUACACACCGCCCGUCACACCAUGGGAGUGGGUUGCACCAGAAGUAGCUAGUCUAACCUUCGGGAGGUACCG